AUAAACGCUGGCGGCGUGCCUAAUACAUGCAAGUCGAGCGAACAGACGAGGAGCUUGCUCCUCUGAUGUUAGCGGCGGACGGGUGAGUAACACGUGGAUAACCUACCUAUAAGACUGGGAUAACUUCGGGAAACCGGAGCUAAUACCGGAUAACAUGUUGAACCGCAUGGUUCAACAGUGAAAGACGGUCUUGCUGUCACUUAUAGAUGGAUCCGCGCCGCAUUAGCUAGUUGGUAAGGUAACGGCUUACCAAGGCAACGAUGUGUAGCCGACCUGAGAGGGUGAUCGGCCACACUGGAACUGAGACACGGUCCAGACUCCUACGGGAGGCAGCAGUAGGGAAUCUUCCGCAAUGGGCGAAAGCCUGACGGAGCAACGCCGCGUGAGUGAAGAAGGUCUUCGGAUCGUAAAACUCUGUUAUUAGGGAAGAACAAAUGUGUAAGUAACUAUGCACGUCUUGACGGUACCUAAUCAGAAAGCCACGGCUAACUACGUG
This 496-nucleotide ribosomal RNA is filed under the name uncultured bacterium. Its description in RNAcentral is "partial 16S ribosomal RNA". It matches the Rfam family "Bacterial small subunit ribosomal RNA", at positions 29 to 507 of the family's 1533-position model. The record is from RNAcentral.